RNAcentral lists this ribosomal RNA (391 nucleotides) under Monodelphis domestica (gray short-tailed opossum). RNAcentral describes it as "partial 12S ribosomal RNA". It matches the Rfam family "Bacterial small subunit ribosomal RNA", at positions 794 to 1384 of the family's 1533-position model. The record is from RNAcentral. Lineage: Eukaryota; Metazoa; Chordata; Mammalia; Didelphimorphia; Didelphidae.
GCUUAGUCAUAAACCAAAGUAGUUAGAUAACAAAACUACUCGCCAGGAAACUACUAGCUACUGCUUAAAACUCAAAGGACUUGGCGGUGCCCUAAACCCACCUAGAGGAGCCUGUUCUAUAAUCGAUAAACCCCGAUAUACCCAACCCCAUCUUGCCAAUACAGCCUAUAUACCGCCAUCGUCAGCCCACCUUAAAAAAGAUACAAAGUAAGCAAAAUUAUUUUUUCAUAAAAACGUUAGGUCAAGGUGUAGCAUAUGAUAGGGAAAGAAAUGGGCUACAUUAUCUAGCUUAGAUUACACGAAUCACAUUAUGAAAUCUAAUGUGCCUGAAGGAGGAUUUAGUAGUAAAUUAAGAAUAGAGUGCUUAAUUGAAUUAGGCAAUAGGGCGCGC